Molecule: ribosomal RNA, 254 nt
Filed under: uncultured bacterium
Lineage: Bacteria
Description: partial 16S ribosomal RNA
Rfam family: Bacterial small subunit ribosomal RNA
Source: RNAcentral
UACGUAGGUGGCGAGCGUUGUCCGGAUUUAUUGGGCGUAAAGCGCGCGCAGGCGGUCGCGUAAGUCUGCUGUGAAAUCUCCCUGGCUCAACCGGGAGGGGGCGGCGGAGACUGCGGGACUGGAGGGACCUAGAGGCCGGUGGAAUUCCCGGAGUAGUGGUGAAAUGCGUAGAGAUCGGGAGGAACACCGGUGGCGAAGGCGGGUCUCUGGGCAGUAACUGACGCUCAUGCACGACAGCGUGGGGAUCAAACAGG